GACGAACGCUGGCGGCGUGCUUAACACAUGCAAGUCGAACGGAAAGGCCCUGCUUUUGUGGGGUGCUCGAGUGGCGAACGGGUGAGUAACACGUGAGUAACCUGCCCUUGACUUUGGGAUAACUUCAGGAAACUGGGGCUAAUACCGGAUAGGAGCUCCUGCUGCAUGGUGGGGGUUGGAAAGUUUCGGCGGUUGGGGAUGGACUCGGGGGUUAUCAGCUUGUUGGUGGGGUAGUGGCUUACCAAGGCUUUGACGGGUAGCCGGCCUGAGAGGGUGACCGGCCACAUUGGGACUGAGGUACGGCCCAGACUGCUACGGGAGGCAGCGGUGGGGAAUAUUGCACAAUGGGGGGAAGCCUGAUGCAGAAACGCCGCGUGCGGGAUGAAGGCCUUCGGGUUGUAAACCGCUUUCGCCUGUGACGAAGCGUGAGUGACGGUAAUGGGUAAAGAAGCACCGGCUAACUACGUG
Molecule: ribosomal RNA, 468 nt
Filed under: uncultured bacterium
Lineage: Bacteria
Description: partial 16S ribosomal RNA
Rfam family: Bacterial small subunit ribosomal RNA
Source: RNAcentral